RNAcentral lists this ribosomal RNA (257 nucleotides) under uncultured bacterium. RNAcentral describes it as "partial 16S ribosomal RNA". It matches the Rfam family "Bacterial small subunit ribosomal RNA", at positions 793 to 1055 of the family's 1533-position model. The record is from RNAcentral.
GUCCACACCGUAAACGAUGAUUACUAGGUGUUGGAUGAUUGACCCUUCAGUGCCGCAGUUAACACAAUAAGUAAUCCACCUGGGAGUACGACCGCAAGGUUGAAACUCAAAGGAAUUGACGGGGCCCGCACAAGCAGUGGAGUAUGUGGUUUAAUUCGACGCAACGCGAAGAACCUUACCAAGUCUUGACAUCCCUUGACGAACAUAGAAAUAUGUUUCUCUUCGGAGCAAGGAGACAGGUGGUGCAUGGUUGUCGU